GGCAAGAUGGCCGAGCGGUCCAAGGCGUGUGACUCAAGCGAAAGCUUGCCUGUGAUAAGCAGGUUUCUCAUCCGUGUAUGCGGGCGUGGGUUCGAAUCCCACUCUUGUCA
This 110-nucleotide transfer RNA is filed under the name Gloeophyllum trabeum ATCC 11539. It matches the Rfam family "tRNA". From Rfam's summary of the family: Transfer RNA (tRNA) molecules are approximately 80 nucleotides in length. The record is from Rfam by way of RNAcentral. Lineage: Eukaryota; Fungi; Basidiomycota; Agaricomycetes; Gloeophyllales; Gloeophyllaceae.